GCCGCGUGGGUGAGCGUGGACGUGAAUCCUCCCCCAGUCAAGGCUUGAAAUGGCUGCAACCCUAAUCAGCCCCUUGGCUGAAACCUCCCGGAUUCUUGGCCCUGGGAAACUUCCAGGAGCUGUCGGGCUCAGUGAGCAUCUUGAUGUUCCGUAAGAUCCGGUUCCUGAUGUCCCCAUGGGCUGGAGCUCGUGCCCUGGCGGAUCCCUUGUGGAGCAUCACCUAGAGAACUGGGACUGGUCAUGGCGCAGCAUGAUGAUGAGAAGCAGCUGGAAAACCCGGCCACCACCGGCCCCUUCCACAGGCCCUCACAGAACCCGGCCCACGCCAGACCGUCCGUCUGUCAAACGCUUAAACUGCAACAGCGCGGGCGGCGUGUGGCGAGAACAUCCGAGGCUCAGGGCUCAGGGUCCCGGGGCCGCUCAGCCCUGCCCCUCGCAGAGGGAUUCGCUUGCAGCCGCCGAGUCUCCCUCGCCUGGAACGAGAAGGCCGGGCUAAGGUCAGUUCCGUGGAAAUCGGGCUUGGGGUCGUAGAGCCCUUCCCACGGCCACCUUCAAAGUCGCCCCUAAACAGCUGCCCUCCCCGGAGGUCUGCCCUCAGAUCUAGGCUCCGGUCCCCCUCGAGCCUCUGCGCCUCCCGCCAUUGGCACGGUAUUCGCGGGGCGCCCACCGCGGACUCACUGAGUGCCUACUAUGGGUCACGCCUUGUGCCAAGGGCUUUCCAGAAGGGCCAAGGGGCCGCGCCUGAGCCGCCCGCAGAGGCAGCCGGCUCUGGAAGCGGAGAGCGCCGCCCGUCCCUGGCCUGGAGCUGACACGCCUAGCCCCGGACGUCACAUGCCACCACUCGCAUUGCCAUCCUCGCCACCACCAGUGUCCCAGAACUCGGUCCUUUGCCACUCUCCCCCCUUGUGACAGGACUUUUGGUGUCUGGAGAAGUCCCCUUUGACGUGCGGCUCUGAGGCAGGGACCUGCACCGCAGCUGCAAGGGAGAGAGAGGGUAGCCGGCCUUCUACAGUGAAAGCAUCCCUUGAACAUGGGAAACAGAGUCCACGUGCUGGACAUCCAAAAAGAGUGACAGGCGUGCACGCGAAGGCUCUCCACUACAGCGUCCCUGCUUUCAGAGCAGGAACCCGGGGCUUGGCAAGGUUAAAGGACAUGCCCGAGGCGAUGGGGAUGGAAGUGGCCAGCGAACCUGCACCUUGUACUGGGAACCUUUAUCUGUUUCCAUUACCCAGACCUUCCGGGGUGAGGGGAGAAAUACCUCUGGGCUAUACAAACAAUGAAUUCUGUUUAUACAAACCAAUCCACCUAAAACCUACUUAUUUGUAGUUUGUACUUGCCAAAAGGCCAUCAAGUCCUUAUGUAACUCCCACAUGGCUUAUCAACAUGUUAAGAGAGAAACUAUAUUUUGUCAACCCUGAACUGUCCAGAAUAAUGUUACAAACUUUGACAAUAUUGCCAGAGGUUAAGAUAAAAAUGAGGCAGUUUAGAUGCAUGAUAACCAGGAAUCCGAAAGUCCCUGGAUCCUGUUCUCCCAAACAUUGCUCCCAGCACGCUCCUGAGGAAGCCACACUCCUCGAACCCCAUGCAACUAAAAGUUGAUCAAGGGCCUUAAAUGCCAAGAAACAGCUUUCAGUCUCAGAUUUGGGGGAUGCACCUGGCACACGUAAAGAGUGUGCCCUUUGUCCUGUUACAAAAGAAAAUCGGAGAACCAGCUUAUUCGGAUGUACCUUUGAGAAGGAGGCUGAAUCUUCACACAAGACUGGGCUUACUUGGCUCAGCAAAGAUGUAAGAGCGGAGGAAGAGCAGAAGGGUGGGGGCGCAGAUAUCCCCCGCCUCUCGGGCCGCGGCCCCACAGUGAGCUCCAGCCCUCCAAGAGUCACUCCUCCUGCCGCGUUUGCUGUUUCCCAGCUUCGCGCCUGGGGCAGUGCUCACCGUGGGACACGUCCGUGUUCUUUCCCCUCCUGCAAUGCCCUCUGGAGUGAGGCGUCUGAGGUCGGGUCCAGACUAACACAAAAACAAACAUGGAAUCUCUCGAGUAAUUUGCAUAGAGUUGAUCUAAAAGCCCAUUAAAUCUGUGUGUCAAAAAGAGGAGAAUAGUGCUCUCGACGCUAGAAAUGCCUGUCAGGAGUGCAGAAUGAACUGCACGUUUUAAGAAAGGCUUCACUAGUACAAAUUACCACUCCGGGUUCAUUCAUUCAUUCAUUAAAAAAAAAUCGCUCAGCACUCACAACAAUCCAGAGACUAUCAUAAGCAUCAAAGACAUAACAGGGAAUGAAGCCAAUGAAAACCCCUUUGUUUAUGAAAUUAGUAGUGGCGAUUCAGUCCCAUUUGGUCUGUUAGGCGCUUAGGAUGAUCUUUUCAGUGCCAUAGGGAAUGCAGACUAUAGAAAAGCUACUGGGCAUUGGUCUUCUAGCGCUUCAUAACCUCGGCCAGCCAUGGGGGUGGCUCAUUAUAAUAUGACACAAAGCAGUAGAGUUUAAGGCAAAACAAAUCAUUCGGGCUAUCAGAGCUAAAAACCCUGAAUGUACUAGGAAUUCAGUAGGCACAUUUGAUAAAUAAAUCUUUUCUUUGAGCAAGACAGUUUUUGAUAAACAAUCUUGUGGAAUUUGAAAACUGAGAAAAAAUGGUAGAAACAAAAUAUGGUGGUCAAAAUAGGGAGGUUACUUCUCUUAUUGCUUAUCUUAUGUGCUUGUUCAAAAAAUGAUACUCUAUAAUUUACUAAAAUUUAGAGGAAAGUAUUUUGUGGCCCGUGAAACUUUGAUGUAACCCUAUUAUUUAAGCUCAUAUUGGCAGUUACAGAUUAAUAAUUGCCAAAACAUUCAAAUUACACAAAAUUGUAUUUUAUGUAGCCAAGUGUGACUUCCAAAUAUGUUGAACUUGAGUCCAAGUUUAGACCAAAGCCCAUUUGCAGAAUGCCUGACACUAAACCUACUUGAUUAAAUUUCCCAGUCUCUCCGCUUUCCACUGACGGUCUCUGAGCUGUUUAUUCCUCUAGCUCCAAAAGCAAGUGAUGGCUGUUUUGGGGGAGAGGACAAGGUAUGAAUGGCUUGUUGUUUGGGGGGAGAGAGUUGUUGGCUAAAGUCAGAACAUCAUUUCCAAGAUUUUAUUUUUAAAGACCUACAAAGUUAGGAGGUAAAUUCAAGCACCCUAAUUAGAUGACCUUGAAGGAGACAAGAGGACAGGGCUUGCUAUUUUGUUUUCUGCAUUCGUUAAAAACCAGAUCUGAGUGAUGGCAAUAUGGUUUAUUAUCAAGAAGUGGAAGUGAAAGAUUUCGAAUCUAUAAUGUGUCUGGUUUCCCUACUUUUCCAAUCACUCGGGCGAUCAGAACUCAAAACCUGAAUGUACUAGGAAUUUAGUAGGCACAUUUGAUAAAUGUAUUGCUUUCUGAUACCUCAGAGGGUUUAUUUUAAACAUUGUUGAGCAUGCUGUAUUCUUUGAGGAAAUACAAGCUCCUUCACUUAGCUGUGCUCACGGUCUGCUGGCAGAAACAGCUACACGAAUAUAAGACCAUGAUCCAAAGAGCAGCUGUGAGGUGUGACCUCAUUUGAGACUCUUCAACCUCUAAGCUCUAAGUCAGAAAGAUUGUGUCCUGGGUAGAGUUUCUCCUAAACGGUUUGUCCACACGGUAACAAAGUGUACGUGAGGGUCAGUAGUGAAAUAGUCAUAUGUACAGCCCUGGUAAUGAAUAGUGCCCUAUGAAAUCUGAAUUAACAAAAAGGAAACUAGCAUACAUCUUAGAAGAAAGGUCUAGUGAACCAAAAAAUCUAGCCUUUCAGGGAGUAGAAAAUUGUUCUUUAUUAAACUAUGGGCUAAAUUUAACUGAGCGCCACCAGAGCUACCCAGACUUGAUGGCGAUGAUCAACAAUAAGCGAUGACCGCCGCUUCAUUCAGGUGGCCUCUGAGCACCUGGAGGUGAGCCAGAAGGGGGAUUGGGUGCUGAACCCCCCUCCCUCCUGACAUGGAACUGCCAGGGCCCCAAAAAGUCAUGUGAGGUCCACGAAGUUCAUAGCAGUGGAUGGAGGUGCUCUUUUAAAUUAUGAUUAUGUCAUAAAAAAAAAAACAGAUCCUACCAUUU
This is a non-coding RNA of Manis javanica (Malayan pangolin), 4075 nucleotides long. Lineage: Eukaryota; Metazoa; Chordata; Mammalia; Pholidota; Manidae. The record is from RefSeq and is a predicted model, not a curated record.